UCUUAUUGUAUAUAGUACAUCUUAGUGCAGCCUGUCGUUCCGGUGGGUUUUGUACCCGAUUCGCACUGUGACCUCCAUCUCUGUGCCUUUCACACAACAAAUUUCCAUGCACUUCCCACACAGACUGACAUGUGCCGCGAAGAAAAAACAGUGUAUUGUAUGUACAUAGAUUCACAGUUCUUCUCAGCAUUUGGCUUUUAAUGAAUCUUCUCCAAACACAGCAUGAUGUAAAUAUUAAACACAGCCUCACACAAUCCAGAUUUAUUAAAGUAUUUUACUUUUAGAAUUUUUUUUUUUUAUAGAUAAAUUAAUGAUGUAUAUUGUAGUGCUGUAUAUCUCUUUGUGUUUUAGCUUCCACACUUGUUUUCUGUUCCUGUUUAUUUUUGAUUUCUUAAGAUACUGUAUGUUGUGGCCUAAUAAUACUACAAUUAUUUUAAUUCUGACUCAUAUAUAUAUAUGAUAUAAGGAUUGUGUUACAUUCUGUAGUGGUUUCAUUUUAGGGCACAGACCAUAUUUUAAUGUUUGUAAUAAUGAAAUAUCUGUGUGUAUGGUGAUGAAAUGUGAAAUGUGAUGGUUGUCCUGAAUGGAAGUGGUUAAUGGCUGAAUAAAAAGAAAUCAUGCAUACAGUA
Long non-coding RNA from Sphaeramia orbicularis (orbiculate cardinalfish), 629 nucleotides. RefSeq lists it as uncharacterized. The transcript is spliced from 2 exons. NCBI's taxonomy places the organism in Eukaryota, Metazoa, Chordata, Actinopteri, Kurtiformes, Apogonidae. The record is from RefSeq and is a predicted model, not a curated record.